GAUGAACGCUGGCGGCGUGCUUAACACAUGCAAGUCGAACGGAAAGGCCCAAGCUUGCUUGGGUACUCGAGUGGCGAACGGGUGAGUAACACGUGGGUGAUCUGCCCUGCACUUCGGGAUAAGCCUGGGAAACUGGGUCUAAUACCGGAUAGGACGAUGGUUUGGAUGCCAUUGUGGAAAGUUUUUUCGGUGUGGGAUGAGCUCGCGGCCUAUCAGCUUGUUGGUGGGGUAAUGGCCUACCAAGGCGUCGACGGGUAGCCGGCCUGAGAGGGUGUACGGCCACAUUGGGACUGAGAGACGGCCCAGACUCGUACGGGAGGCAGCAGUGGGGAAUAUUGCACAAUGGGCGCAAGCCUGAUGCAGCGACGCCGCGUGGGGGAUGACGGCCUUCGGGUUGUAAACUCCUUUCGCUAGGGACGAAGCGUUUUUGUGACGGUACCUGGAGAAGAAGCACCGGCUAACUACGUG
RNAcentral lists this ribosomal RNA (468 nucleotides) under uncultured bacterium. RNAcentral's name for it is "partial 16S ribosomal RNA". It matches the Rfam family "Bacterial small subunit ribosomal RNA", at positions 28 to 507 of the family's 1533-position model. The record is from RNAcentral.